CCUGCCACCGAAUACAUUAGCAUGGGAUAAUGGAAUAGGACCCUGACCUCCUAUUUUCAGUUGGUUUUACUAACAGCGAGGUUCAUAUCAGGGUAAUGAUUAAUAGGGAUAGUUGGGGGCAUUAAUAUUUAAUUGUCAGAGGUGAAAUUCUUGGAUUUAUGAAAGAUUAACUUCUGCGAAAGCGUUUGCCAAGGAUGUUUUCAUUAAUCAAGAACGAAAGUUAGGGGAUCGAAGACGAUUAAAA
Molecule: ribosomal RNA, 244 nt
Filed under: Acanthamoeba lenticulata
Lineage: Eukaryota; Discosea; Longamoebia; Acanthamoebidae
Description: partial small subunit ribosomal RNA
Rfam family: Eukaryotic small subunit ribosomal RNA
Source: RNAcentral